AAAACAAGUGUUGAUCAGACAUGGAAAUAAAAGUGCUGAAAACAAAUUGACUCCCAACAUAAAAAGAAGAUGAAGAACAAAGCUAUGAAGGAAAAAAUACUGGAGUUUUGGUGCAGGCACAGCCAACUAGCACAAAACUAAUAUUAGGAUACUGUCAAAACGUUAGGACUCAUCUUAAAAAAUAUGUAACUGCAUCAGUCUCCCCCCCCAUCACUAUCUAAUGAUUAUGUGUAGUAGUCGUUUACUCAUUAGCCUGACAUAAAUACACCUACCAACCUUUAAGACAGGUUUGAAUCCAGAGCCCAUUCAGAGGGGUUUGGUUCAAAUACAGAAGACAUUUUUUUGGAAUGCAUUCAGUUGUGCAACUGACUAGGUCUCCCCCUUUCCCUAAUGAUGAUGUUCAGUCCUAGUAGGUCUUCCCCCCUUUCCCUCAUGAUGACGUUUAGUCCUAGUAGGUCCCCCCCUUUCCCUAAUGAUGAUGUUUAGUCCUAGUAGGUCCCCC
Molecule: long non-coding RNA, 502 nt
Organism: Oncorhynchus tshawytscha (Chinook salmon)
Lineage: Eukaryota; Metazoa; Chordata; Actinopteri; Salmoniformes; Salmonidae
Source: Ensembl